Molecule: ribosomal RNA, 253 nt
Filed under: uncultured bacterium
Lineage: Bacteria
Description: partial 16S ribosomal RNA
Rfam family: Bacterial small subunit ribosomal RNA
Source: RNAcentral
UACGUAGGUGGCAAGCGUUGUCCGGAAUUAUUGGGCGUAAAGCGCGCGCAGGCGGUCUUUUAAGUCUGAUGUGAAAGCCCACGGCUCAACCGUGGAGGGCCAUUGGAAACUGGGAGACUUGAGUGCAGAAGAGAAGAGUGGAAUUCCACGUGUAGCGGUGAAAUGCGUAGAGAUGUGGAGGAACACCAGUGGCGAAGGCGACUCUUUGGUCUGUAACUGACGCUGAGGCGCGAAAGCGUGGGGAGCAAACAGG